Molecule: ribosomal RNA, 25 nt
Filed under: Blastobotrys adeninivorans
Lineage: Eukaryota; Fungi; Ascomycota; Dipodascomycetes; Dipodascales; Trichomonascaceae
Description: partial 18S ribosomal RNA
Source: RNAcentral
UUUUCCUCCGCUUAUUGAUAUGCUU